Molecule: long non-coding RNA, 1238 nt
Filed under: Monodelphis domestica (gray short-tailed opossum)
Lineage: Eukaryota; Metazoa; Chordata; Mammalia; Didelphimorphia; Didelphidae
Description: lncRNA (ENSMODG00000051585.1)
Source: RNAcentral
AAAAUGAGCAAACAAUGAAAAAAGAAACUAAAUAUAGAAAGCUAUUUUGGUGACAGGGUAGACUUAAACUUAGAAGACAACAAAGUCAAUACUGCUGCACCCAAAACUUCCAAGAAAAAUAUUAAUUGCUUUCAAGUCCAAAAAGAAUUAAUGAAGGAAUUCAAAAAUGGGAUUUUAAAAAUCAGAGAGGUAGAAGAAAAAAAUUGAGAAAAAAUAUGAGUGAUACAGGAAAAUCAUGAAAAAAGAGAAACCCAGAUCCUACAGAGACCAAUGUUAAAGUGACUGAAAUUCUCUCAACUAUAUUUUUAACAAAAUGUUUCUUUAAUCUACUGAGUUCUACUACAUAACAACUAGGAUGUUUGGGGGGAACUCAAGCCUUGGCAGCCCAAACCCUCUGAGAGGAAGUCAGGUUGACUCACCCCUGGGCAACAGGAGCUGAGAGGCAGGAAAGCAGGAUUUCUAAGUAGAGCAGAACUGACAGGGGUCAGUGAGCCAGAGCUGAAGAUUCCAUUACCAAGGUGAGGAGGGGAGAGAUAAAGAAGGAAUCAGUUGGCAGCUUGGAAGACAACAAAAGUAAUCCACCAACCUCAUCCUCCAUAGUAACUAGGAUGAUAGAUUUCUGUUGGAGGCAGAAGUUGGAUCUUGGUGGAAAAUUCAAUAGAGCAACAGGACCUGAAGUCAGAAGACCCGAGUCCAAAUGCAUAUGCUAUCAUUAGAACCUUGGCCAAGUCAUAGAACCUCAGCCUGCUUUUGUUUCCCCUCUGUGUAAAGCAGGAAGCACCUGCCUCCCAGAGUUAUUGUGAGAGUAAAAUGAAUUAAUAUUUGUUAAGUACUACAGAAAUGAUAGUUUUAAUUAAAAAAUAGUAUUAUUAGGUAAUUUAUCACAUCUAUAUAACUGGCAGCUAGGUGGUGCAGUGGAUAGAAUAUAAGGCCUGGAUUCAGGUAGACUCAUGAGUUCAAAUCUGACCUCAAACACAUGCUAGCUAUGUGAGCCUGAGUAAGUUAUUUAACCCUGUUUGGGACAGUUUCCUCCUCUGAAAAAUGAGCUGGGAAAGGAAAUGGCAGACCACUUCAAUAUAUUUACCAAGAAAACCUGAAAGAGGGCUACACAGAAUUAGACACAACAACAACAACAAAAAAGACUAACACAUAAUGUCAUAUAAUUAAAUGUAUUUACAACCAUAUAUAUGUGUAAAAUAUGUAAAUAUGUCCAUUAUUAUUACUAUCUCAUAAUUUAU